AAAAAUUGAAAGGGCCCUUUCGCUCCAAAGAAGGGAGGCCCCCCCGGCCCAUAAAGUUGGUGGGGAGGUAACGGUUUCCCCAAGGGAAAGGUUUCAUCCCCCCCUGGAGGGGUUUUUCGCCCCCCGGGGGAUUGAACCCCGGCCCCGAUUUCUUAGGGGGAGCCGCCAGUAGGUAUUUUUGGCCAAUGGAAGAAUAGUUUGACCCGAACAACCCCCGCUUGAAUGAAGAAGGUUUUCGGAUCGUAAAACUUUGUUGUUAGAGAAGAACAAGGAUGAGAGUAAAAUGUUCAUCCCUUGACGGUAUCUAACCAGAAAGCCACGGCUAAUUACGUGCCAGCAGCCGCGGUAAUACGUAGGUGGCAAGCGUUGUCCGGAUUUAUUGGGCGUAAAGCGAGCGCAGGCGGUUUCUUAAGUCUGAUGUGAAAGCCCCCGGCUCAACCGGGGAGGGUCAUUGGAAACUGGGAGACUUGAGUGCAGAAGAGGAGAGUGGAAUUCCAUGUGUAGCGGUGAAAUGCGUAGAUAUAUGGAGGAACACCAGUGGCGAGGGCGGCUCUCUGGUCUGUAACUGACGCUGAGGCUCGAAAGCGUGGGGAGCGAACAGGAUUAGAUACCCUGGUAGUCCACGCCGUAAACGAUGAGUGCUAAGUGUUGGAGGGUUUCCGCCCUUCAGUGCUGCAGCAAACGCAUUAAGCACUCCGCCUGGGGAGUACGACCGCAAGGUUGAAACUCAAAGGAAUUGACGGGGGCCCGCACAAGCGGUGGAGCAUGUGGUUUAAUUCGAAGCAACGCGAAGAACCUUACCAGGUCUUGACAUCCUUUGACCACUCUAGAGAUAGAGCUUCCCCUUCGGGGGCAAAGUGACAGGUGGUGCAUGGUGGUCGUCAGCUCGUGUCGUGAGAUGUUGGGUUAAGUCCCGCAACGAGCGCAACCCUUAUUGUUAGUUGCCAUCAUUUAGUUGGGCACUCUAGCGAGACUGCCGGUGACAAACCGGAGGAAGGUGGGGAUGACGUCAAAUCAUCAUGCCCCUUAUGACCUGGGCUACACACGUGCUACAAUGGGAAGUACAACGAGUUGCGAAGUCGCGAGGCUAAGCUAAUCUCUUAAAGCUUCUCUCAGUUCGGAUUGUAGGCUGCAACUCGCCUACAUGAAGCCGGAAUCGCUAGUAAUCGCGGAUCAGCACGCCGCGGUGAAUACGUUCCCGGGCCUUGUACACACCGCCCGUCACACCACGAGAGUUUGUAACACCCGAAGUCGGUGAGGUAACCUUUUGGAGCCAGCCGCCUAAGGUGGAAGAAAGUGA
Molecule: ribosomal RNA, 1300 nt
Filed under: Enterococcus gallinarum
Lineage: Bacteria; Bacillati; Bacillota; Bacilli; Lactobacillales; Enterococcaceae
Description: bacterial SSU rRNA
Rfam family: Bacterial small subunit ribosomal RNA
Source: RNAcentral